ACGCUGGCGGCAUGCCUUACACAUGCAAGUCGAACGGCAGCACGGACUUCGGUCUGGUGGCGAGUGGCGAACGGGUGAGUAAUAUAUCGGAACGUGCCCUGGAGUGGGGGAUAACUAGUCGAAAGACUAGCUAAUACCGCAUACGAUCUACGGAUGAAAGUGGGGGAUCGCAAGACCUCAUGCUCGUGGAGCGGCCGAUAUCUGAUUAGCUAGUUGGUGGGGUAAAAGCCUACCAAGGCAUCGAUCAGUAGCUGGUCUGAGAGGACGACCAGCCACACUGGGACUGAGACACGGCCCAGACUCCUACGGGAGGCAGCAGUGGGGAAUUUUGGACAAUGGGGGCAACCCUGAUCCAGCAAUGCCGCGUGAGUGAAGAAGGCCUUCGGGUUGUAAAGCUCUUUUGUCAGGGAAGAAACGGUUCUGGCUAAUACCCGGAGCUAAUGACGGUACCUGAAGAAUAAGCACCGGCUAACUACGUGCCAGCAGCCGCGGUAAUACGUAGGGUGCAAGCGUUAAUCGGAAUUACUGGGCGUAAAGCGUGCGCAGGCGGUUGUGCAAGACAGAUGUGAAAUCCCCGGGCUUAACCUGGGAAUUGCAUUUGUGACUGCACGGCUUAUAGUGUGUCAGAAGGGGGUAGAAUUCC
This 643-nucleotide ribosomal RNA is filed under the name beta proteobacterium TH-M34. RNAcentral's name for it is "bacterial SSU rRNA". It matches the Rfam family "Bacterial small subunit ribosomal RNA", at positions 33 to 670 of the family's 1533-position model. Lineage: Bacteria; Pseudomonadati; Pseudomonadota; Betaproteobacteria. The record is from RNAcentral.